This 362-nucleotide ribosomal RNA is filed under the name uncultured bacterium. RNAcentral's name for it is "bacterial SSU rRNA". It matches the Rfam family "Bacterial small subunit ribosomal RNA", at positions 29 to 417 of the family's 1533-position model. The record is from RNAcentral.
AGCGAACGCUGGCGGCAGGCUUAACACAUGCAAGUCGAACGGCCCUUUCGGGGGCGAGUGGCGGACAGGUGAGUAACACGUGGGAACGUGCCCUUAGGUUCGGAACAACACAGGGAAACUUGUGCUAAUACCGGAUGUGCCCUUUUGGGGAAAGAUUUAUCGCCUUUGGAGCGGCCCGCGUCUGAUUAGCUAGUUGGUGGGGUAAAGGCCUACCAAGGCUACGAUCAGUAGCUGGUCUGAGAGGANGGCCAGCCACACUGGGACUGAGACACGGCCCAGACUCCUACGGGAGGCAGCAGUGGGGAAUAUUGCGCAAUGGGCGAAAGCCUGACGCAGCGACGCCGCGUGAGGGAUGACGGCCU